This 253-nucleotide ribosomal RNA is filed under the name uncultured bacterium. Its description in RNAcentral is "partial 16S ribosomal RNA". It matches the Rfam family "Bacterial small subunit ribosomal RNA", at positions 524 to 776 of the family's 1533-position model. The record is from RNAcentral.
UACGUAGGGGGCAAGCGUUGUCCGGAUUUACUGGGCGUAAAGAGCGUGUAGGCGGCCAAACAGGUCCGUUGUGAAAACUCGAGGCUCAACCUCGAGAGGUCGGUGGAAACCAUCCAGCUAGAGUCCGGAAGAGGAGAAUGGAAUUCCUGGUGUAGCGGUGAAAUGCGCAGAUAUCAGGAAGAACACCCGUGGCGAAGGCGGUUCUCUGGGACGGUACUGACGCUGAGACGCGAAAGCGUGGGGAGCGAACAGG